AGUGAACGCUGGCGGUGGGCCUAACACAUGCAAGUCGAACGGAAGCACAGUAAGCGCUUUCUUUUACGGGUGGCGAGUGGCGGACGGGUGAGGCAUACAUCGCCAUCUACUUUUUCGUGGGUGACAACGUAGGGAAACUUACGCUAAUACCGCAUACAACCUACGGGUUAAAGCAGUGGAUCUUCGGACCUUGCGCGAUUGAAUGAGCCGAUGUCGGAUUAGCUAGUUGGCGGGGUAAAGGCCCACCAAGGCGACGAUCCGUAGCUGGUCUGAGAGGAUGAUCGGCCACACUGGAGCUGAGACACGGUCCAGACUCCUACGGGAGGCAGCAGUGGGGAAUAUUGGGCAAUGGGCGCAAGCCUGACCCAGCCAUACCGCGUGAGUGAAGAAGGCCUUCGGGUUGUAAAGCCCUUUUGUUGGGAAAGAAAAGCAGCAGGUUAAUACCCCGCUGUUCUGACGGUACCCAAAGAAUAAGCACCGGCUAACUUCGUG
Molecule: ribosomal RNA, 492 nt
Filed under: uncultured bacterium
Lineage: Bacteria
Description: partial 16S ribosomal RNA
Rfam family: Bacterial small subunit ribosomal RNA
Source: RNAcentral